CUUCCUCCUCCAGAAUCUGAUCAUUGGACCCCAACAGUCAUCUUCAUUCUCUAUAGGAAAUAGGCUUUGGCAGCAGCCACAUCAGCUUCAGCACUGAAUUGGGAGAGCUUGAAGAGCCCACAGGCCCUUCUCCUUGAGUAUGAAGGUCUCUUAUCUGAGGACUGGCUGGGUCUUUCCUUAUUCUUCUUCGUUAGGAAUGGGUCCAAUAGUUUCUUAUUUUCUUAAAGCUGAAAUUGGGACAGAAAUUGGGAGCCAUGGGACCUGACCCUAGGAGAGUAGAAGUCAUGAUUUAUUGGACCUCUAGAUGGACACUGAGUGGUCUAGCUACUCGGUAAGUGUGACAUUUCCAGGGUCUCUGAUGCUACAGGAAGAAGUUUUGAAGCCUUUUUUACACAACUGCUGGAACUUGGGGUUUGGAUGGGACAGAAGCUUUUGGAUGUGAACUUAUAGACCUGGCCCCAGGGUCUGCUUGGGCAGUAUCCAGAGGAGAGAAAUGUUACCUGCUAAAGGCACUCUCCUCUCACUAGACCUGGGAAAUACCUUUCCAGAUGAGAAUGGCUUUCUUCAGGGUCUGGAUCAGUAAGUCUAUCUUUGCCAUCUUUUGGAGUUGGUCCACAAGCUCUUCUCAGAGCCAGCCCUAAGGGAAGAGGCUUAGACCAAAGCUCAGUAGGUUUAUUAUCUAUGCUUAAGACUGGCUUGGGACUUGGAAGAGAGGCAGGCAAGGGAUUGUUCCAACUACUUCUUCUGAUAGUCCUCCUGGACUCCUUGGAGCUCAGUGACCAGCCCACAGAAGCAUGCAGCAGACAGCUUGGGAGCUGGGGAGACAGCUAAGAAUGGGGAAGACUUGUCCAUGUUUGUAGGCAACAGGGAAAUUUCACCAUACAGGAAGAAAUUGCAGAUUAAUGAGAGUGAGAAUAACAGAUGGAGCAAUAUUCUGGAUAAUGAAACUAAGGCACCCAGGAUUAAGUGACUUGCCCAGAGUCACACAGCUAGUGAGAAGACUGGAUUUGAAUUCAGGAAGACAAUUUUUUCUUAGUUCUGGCACUCUCCACUGUGCUGCCUAACUAGCACUCACUAAAAGUCUUCAAAGCAAAGGUUGGAUG
This 1103-nucleotide long non-coding RNA is filed under the name Monodelphis domestica (gray short-tailed opossum). RNAcentral describes it as "lncRNA (ENSMODG00000037034.1)". The record is from RNAcentral. Lineage: Eukaryota; Metazoa; Chordata; Mammalia; Didelphimorphia; Didelphidae.